Molecule: long non-coding RNA, 110 nt
Organism: Cimex lectularius (bed bug)
Lineage: Eukaryota; Metazoa; Arthropoda; Insecta; Hemiptera; Cimicidae
Exons: 2
Source: RefSeq, a predicted model, not a curated record
GGCCUCUGCUGUGGCGAACCCUCGAAAAAAAAUUAGUACUAAAGCAGAUUUAGCAGGAAUUCUUUAGCACCACCACCAGGCCAUUUACAAAAACGAUGAAGAGAUAGAUA